This 253-nucleotide ribosomal RNA is filed under the name uncultured bacterium. RNAcentral describes it as "partial 16S ribosomal RNA". It matches the Rfam family "Bacterial small subunit ribosomal RNA", at positions 524 to 776 of the family's 1533-position model. The record is from RNAcentral.
UACGUAGGUGGCGAGCGUUGUCCGGAAUUACUGGGUGUAAAGGGCGUGUAGGCGGGAAGACAAGUCAGAUGUGAAAUACCGUGGCUUAACCACGGGGCUGCAUCUGAAACUGUUUUUCUUGAGUGUCGGAGAGGAAAGUGGAAUUCCCAGUGUAGCGGUGAAAUGCGUAGAUAUUGGGAGGAACACCAGUGGCGAAGGCGACUUUCUGGACGAUAACUGACGCUGAGGCGCGAAAGCGUGGGGAGCAAACAGG